AAAAUUUUUUUAACAAAAAUAAUAGGAUAAAUAUAUUUUAUAAAUUUUUAUAAAUGAUUAAUAAUAAAAUAUUAAUAUAAAACAUAAAAUUUUAGUAAAGUUUAUUAAAAAUUUUUAUAUACCUAUAAAUAAAAACUUUGAAGGUAAUUUGAAUUAAAAUAAAAUUAAGUAAAAAAAAGAAAGAAUUAAUCUUUACCUUUUGUAUUAUGGGAAGCUAAAAUAAAAAUUAAUAUUAAUUUUUAACGAAACAGUAUGAGUUAUUUGUUUCCCUAAAAUUGUUAGGAAGUCUAACUGUAGAAAAAGUAAGGCUAGAGGGACAAAUGGUAAUGAAAUGUUAAUCGAAUACUGUAAUAGCUUUUUCUUAGGGAAAUUAGUGUAAGCUAAAAUAGAAAUUUUUCUUUGGAUAAUUUGUUGGCUGAUCAACAUAUUAUUGGAGGUAAUAACCUUAAGUUAGAAGAAAGGACAAUAAAACUAUUUGAUAUUAUUAGUAGUAGGAUUCAAGCAUUCUUCUAGAAAGAGAGCGUUUGAGCUUCUUUUAAUAUAAAGAUAAAUUAUUGAAAUAAAAAUCCGUUCUUUCCGCUCUGUACCUGAGUAAUAAAAAAGUUUUAUGAAAUAAUGGCUUUAUUAGUAAGAUUAGCUCACUUUAAGUUAUAAAAAUAGUUGUAAUAAAAAAAGUAUUACUAAAAAAUUAUAUUCUUAUCUUAGAGGGUUUUAUAAAUUUAAUAUUAGGAGAGGAACUCGGCAAAAAUUUUUCUCGCCUGUUUACCUAAAACAUCGCCCUUGGAAUUAAUAUCAAAGGGUCCUGCCUGCCCGGUGAUCUUAAAAGAUUAAACGGCUGCGGUACUCUGACCGUGCAAAGGUAGCAUAAUCAUUUGCCUGUUAAUUCCAGGCUGGAAUCAACGGCUAGACGAAGAAAAUACUGUCUUUCUUAAUAAAAUUUUGAAUUUAGUAUUCUGGUGAAGAAACCAGAAUUUUAUAGUGGGACGAGAAGACCCUAUUGAGCUUUAAUAUUUAAUUAUUAAAAUAAAUAAUUAGUAUAUUUUAGUUGGGGCAACUAACUUUUUAGUAAGACAAAGUUAAAAAUAAUAAAUUAAAUUUUAUAAUGACCCAAAAUAAUUUUGGUAAAAAGAAAAAGUUACCAUAGGGAUAACAGCGUAAUUUUCUUUGAGAGUACAUAUUGACAAGAAAGUUUGCGAACUCGAUGUUGGAUCAAGAUAUCCUAAAGGUGCAGCAGCUUCUAAGGGUGGGUUUGUUCAACCUUUAAACUCUUACGCGAUCUGAGUUCAGUCCGUUGUAAGACAGGACAGUUUCUAUCUACUAAAAUUUUCUUUUUGUACGAAAGGACUCUAGAAAAAUAAAUUAAGGUUUUAACCUUUUUAUAAAAAAAAUAAGAAAACAUAAAAC
RNAcentral lists this ribosomal RNA (1404 nucleotides) under Ophiura albida. Its description in RNAcentral is "16S ribosomal RNA". It matches the Rfam family "Bacterial large subunit ribosomal RNA". Lineage: Eukaryota; Metazoa; Echinodermata; Ophiuroidea; Amphilepidida; Ophiuridae. The record is from RNAcentral.